RNAcentral lists this ribosomal RNA (189 nucleotides) under uncultured bacterium. Its description in RNAcentral is "partial 16S ribosomal RNA". It matches the Rfam family "Bacterial small subunit ribosomal RNA", at positions 338 to 524 of the family's 1533-position model. The record is from RNAcentral.
CCUACGGGAGGCAGCAGUAAGGAAUAUUGGUCAAUGGAGGCAACUCUGAACCAGCCAUGCCGCGUGCAGGAUGACGGUCCUAUGGAUUGUAAACUGCUUUUGUACAGGAAGAAACCUCCCUACGAGUAGGGACUUGACGGUACUGUAAGAAUAAGGAUCGGCUAACUCCGUGCCAGCAGCCGCGGUAAU